This 264-nucleotide ribosomal RNA is filed under the name uncultured bacterium. Its description in RNAcentral is "partial 16S ribosomal RNA". It matches the Rfam family "Bacterial small subunit ribosomal RNA", at positions 90 to 354 of the family's 1533-position model. The record is from RNAcentral.
UUCGAGUGGCGGACGGGUGAGUAACGCGUGGGUAACCUGCCUUACACAGGGGAGUAACACCUGGAAACAGGUGCUAAUACCGCAUAAGCGCACAGGGCCGCAUGGCCCGGUGUGAAAAACUCCGGUGGUGUAAGAUGGACCCGCGUCUGAUUAGCUUGUUGGCGGGGUAGGGGCCCACCAAGGCGACGAUCAGUAGCCGGCCUGAGAGGGUGGACGGCCACAUUGGGACUGAGACACGGCCCAAACUCCUACGGGAGGCAGCAG